This 301-nucleotide ribosomal RNA is filed under the name uncultured bacterium. RNAcentral describes it as "partial 16S ribosomal RNA". It matches the Rfam family "Bacterial small subunit ribosomal RNA", at positions 509 to 807 of the family's 1533-position model. The record is from RNAcentral.
CAGCGGCCACGGGAAUACGGAGGGUGCAAGCGUUAUCCGGAUUUAUUGGGUUUAAAGGGUCCGUAGGCGGACUUAUAAGUCAGUGGUGAAAGCCUGUCGCUUAACGAUAGAACUGCCAUUGAUACUGUAAGUCUUGAGUAUAUUUGAGGUAGCUGGAAUAAGUAGUGUAGCGGUGAAAUGCAUAGAUAUUACUUAGAACACCAAUUGCGAAGGCAGGUUACCAAGAUAUAACUGACGCUGAGGGACGAAAGCGUGGGUAGCGAACAGGAUUAGAUACCCGCGUAGUCCCUGUCUCUUAUAC